UCAUUCAAAUAUCUGCCCUAUCAACUUUCGAUGGUAAGAUAGAGGCCUACCAUGGUUUCAACGGGUAACGGGGAAUAAGGGUUCGAUUCCGGAGAGGGAGCCUGAGAAAACGGCUACCACAUCCAAGGAAGGCAGCAGGCGCGCAAAUUACCCAAUCCCGACACGGGGAGGUAGUGACAAUAAAUAACAAUAUAGGGCUCUUUCGGGUCCUAUAAUUGGAAUGAGUACAAUUUAAAUCCCUUAACGAGGAACAAUUGGAGGGCAAGUCUGGUGCCAGCAAGGCGCGGUAAUUCCAGCUCCAAUAGCGUAUAUUAAAGGUUUGUUGCAGUUAAAAAGCUCGUA
Molecule: ribosomal RNA, 342 nt
Filed under: uncultured fungus
Lineage: Eukaryota; Fungi
Description: SSU rRNA
Rfam family: Eukaryotic small subunit ribosomal RNA
Source: RNAcentral